RNAcentral lists this ribosomal RNA (270 nucleotides) under uncultured prokaryote. Its description in RNAcentral is "partial 16S ribosomal RNA". It matches the Rfam family "Archaeal small subunit ribosomal RNA", at positions 474 to 743 of the family's 1478-position model. The record is from RNAcentral.
UACUAGCGGUCCAAGUCGCAGCCAUUUUUAUUGGGUCUAAAACAUCCGUAGCUUGUUUAGUAAGUUUCCUGUGAAAUCCUGUCUCUCAAGGACAGGGCGAGCAAGAAGUACUGCUGAACUAGAGACUGGAAGACGUGGGAAGUACGUUCGAAGUAGCGGUUAAAUGUUUUAAUCUCGAACGGACUCACAAUAGCGAAGGCAUCCCACGAGGACAGUUCUGACAGUAAGGGAUGAAAGCUAGGGGCGCAAACAGGAUUAGAUACCCUUGUA